RNAcentral lists this ribosomal RNA (468 nucleotides) under uncultured bacterium. RNAcentral's name for it is "partial 16S ribosomal RNA". It matches the Rfam family "Bacterial small subunit ribosomal RNA", at positions 28 to 507 of the family's 1533-position model. The record is from RNAcentral.
GACGAACGCUGGCGGCGUGCUUAACACAUGCAAGUCGAACGGAAAGGCCCUGCGCUUGCGGGGUGCUCGUGAGGCGAACGGGGGUGAGACACGCGAGUAUACCGUCCCUGUCAUUCUGGUAUCAUCAGGAGACAGGGGCUCUUAUACGGUAUGAGAUCUUGCACCGCGUGGUGGGUUGGAGAGAUUGGGUGGUUGUGUAUGGACUGGCGGCUUACCAGCUGGUUGGUGGGGUAGGGGCUGACCAAGGCUUGGACGGGUAGCCGGCCUGAGAGGGUGACCGGCCACACUGGGACUGAGAGACGGCCCAGACUCCUACGGGAGGCAGCAGUGGGGAAUAUUGCACAAUGGGCGGAAGCCUGAUGCAGCGACGCCGCGUGCGGGAUGACGGCCUUCGGGUUGUAAACCGCUUUCGGCUGGGAAGAAGCGAGAGUGACGGUACGGGGUAAAGAAGCGCCGGCUAACUACGUG